RNAcentral lists this ribosomal RNA (463 nucleotides) under uncultured bacterium. RNAcentral describes it as "partial 16S ribosomal RNA". It matches the Rfam family "Bacterial small subunit ribosomal RNA", at positions 28 to 507 of the family's 1533-position model. The record is from RNAcentral.
GACGAACGCUGGCGGCGUGCUUAACACAUGCAAGUCGAACGGAAAGGCCUUUUCGGAGGUACUCGAGUGGCGAACGGGUGAGUAACACGUGGGUGAUCUGCCCUGCACUCUGGGAUAAGCCUGGGAAACUGGGUCUAAUACCGGAUAGGACCGCACUUUAGUGUGUGUGGUGGAAAGUUUUUUCGGUGUAGGAUGAGCCCGCGGCCUAUCAGCUUGUUGGUGGGGUAAUGGCCUACCAAGGCGGCGACGGGUAGCCGGACUGGGAGGUUGGUCGGCCACAUUGGGACUGAGAUACGGCCCAGACUCCUACGGGAGGCAGCAGUGGGGAAUAUUGCACAAUGGGCGCAAGCCUGAUGCAGCGACGCCGCGUGGGGGAUGACGGCCCUCGGGUUGUAAACUCCUUUCGCCAGGGACGAAGCGUUUUGUGACGGUACCUGGAGAAGAAGCACCGGCUAACUACGUG